RNAcentral lists this signal recognition particle RNA (96 nucleotides) under Pasteurella atlantica. RNAcentral's name for it is "signal recognition particle sRNA small type". It matches the Rfam family "Bacterial small signal recognition particle RNA". Rfam says of the family: The signal recognition particle (SRP) is a universally conserved ribonucleoprotein involved in the co-translational targeting of proteins to membranes. Archaeal SRP consists of a 7S RNA and homologues of the eukaryotic SRP19 and SRP54 proteins. In most bacteria, the SRP consists of a 4.5S RNA and the Ffh protein (a homologue of the eukaryotic SRP54 protein). RNAcentral also lists the same sequence under 1 other name. Lineage: Bacteria; Pseudomonadati; Pseudomonadota; Gammaproteobacteria; Pasteurellales; Pasteurellaceae. The record is from RNAcentral.
UUUUGGUACCUCGCAAUGGUGUUUAGUUUACUUGGUCAGAUUCGGAAGAAAGCAGCCAGAAUUAAGUUACCGUGUGCCGAGGAGUUGCUGGAAAUG